Molecule: long non-coding RNA, 398 nt
Filed under: Homo sapiens (human)
Lineage: Eukaryota; Metazoa; Chordata; Mammalia; Primates; Hominidae
Description: HSALNT0402918
Source: RNAcentral
GUAAGCUAAAAGAGAACAGCCACGACAGAGGAUACAGUGAAGAUUCAAAAAACGGUGGUGAAUAUUGAAAAGGCGUUGGAGGACACAUAAUAGAAUGCAAAGUCCACAAGGAGAGGGGCUUUGUGUCUUGUUUCACACUGUGUCCCCAGGCUUAGAAUAUUCUGGCAUCAGAAGGCACUCAGUAAACAUAGAGAGGAAGAAAGGAAGAAGAUGAAAUCAGGAGUACAGAUUAAAGUGUUAUCUUUGGAAGACAGGCAAGACAUCCUUUGGGACAGAAGGGAAGGAGAGAAAGCUGGGGAACAUGCAGAUAAUACAAGAGACUGAAUCCAGACAACUUUGGACAUUCCUUCAUUUGAAGAAUUUUUACUGAACAAUUACAGACCAUUGAUUGAUACAGU